This is a non-coding RNA of Dipodomys ordii (Ord's kangaroo rat), 65 nucleotides long. Lineage: Eukaryota; Metazoa; Chordata; Mammalia; Rodentia; Heteromyidae. The record is from Rfam.
GGUGGCUCAGUGGUAGAGCACUUGUCUUGCAUGCAUGAGGCCCUGGGUACAAUUCCUCAGCACCA